Molecule: ribosomal RNA, 497 nt
Filed under: uncultured bacterium
Lineage: Bacteria
Description: partial 16S ribosomal RNA
Rfam family: Bacterial small subunit ribosomal RNA
Source: RNAcentral
GAUGAACGCUGGCGGCGUGCCUAAUACAUGCAAGUCGAGCGAACAGACGAGGAGCUUGCUCCUCUGACGUUAGCGGCGGACGGGUGAGUAACACGUGGAUAACCUACCUAUAAGACUGGGAUAACUUCGGGAAACCGGAGCUAAUACCGGAGAAUAUAUUGAACCGCAUGGUUCAAUAGUGAAAGACGGUUUUGCUGUCACUUAUAGAUGGAUCCGCGCCGGAUUAGCUAGUUGGUAAGGUAACGGCUUACCAAAGCAACGAUUCGUAGCCGACCUGAGAGGGUGAUCGGCCACACUGGAACUGAGACACGGUCCAGACUCCUACGGGAGGCAGCAGUAGGGAAUCUGCCGCAAUAGGCGAAAGCCUGACGGAGCAACGCCGCGUGAGUGAUGAAGGUCUUCGGAUCGUAAAACUCUGUUAUUAGGGAAGAACAAAUGUGUAAGUAACUAUGCACGGCUUGACGUUACCUAAUCAGAAAGCCACGGCUAACUACGUG